Amblyraja radiata (thorny skate) is the source of this 218-nucleotide long non-coding RNA. RefSeq lists it as uncharacterized. The transcript is spliced from 3 exons. The record is from RefSeq and is a predicted model, not a curated record. NCBI's taxonomy places the organism in Eukaryota, Metazoa, Chordata, Chondrichthyes, Rajiformes, Rajidae.
UUAGUUUGUACUUUUGGUGCUGAUCAGAAAAUGUUAUUCUUCUACUUUUAACUUGGUAUAUUUCUCAUUUAUCCUUGUUUGCAGAACAUAUCGAUCAGAAUGCUUGCCAGCAAUUGCCAACAUUGCUGGCAAGCGUGAGAGUAACCAAUGAUACCUGGGUUACAUUUUUGUUAGUCUGGAAGUGAUCCGUUCAAUCAUUUGCAGAGGACUCUGAGGAG